This is a long non-coding RNA of Austrofundulus limnaeus, 1009 nucleotides long. RefSeq lists it as uncharacterized. Lineage: Eukaryota; Metazoa; Chordata; Actinopteri; Cyprinodontiformes; Rivulidae. The transcript has 2 exons. The record is from RefSeq and is a predicted model, not a curated record.
CAGAGCUGGCGGGCGAGGAGCUCCCGCCUCUCAGAGAGCAGCUGUGAUUUCUGCCGCCUCUCGCGAAGCCGUGAGCUGCAGCGUCUCAUGACCGGCUGCUCAUCGCACACCAUCAUCGUCGCACGGCGCGGGGACUGACUGAUCCGGCCCGUCCGCAGCCCUGACAGCCGUCAUGUCCUGGUUGUUCCUGGACUGGUUCGUGCCCCUCUACCUGCUGGUGUCGGUUUUGGUGCUGGCGGGAUUCGGAGCGUGUCUUUACUUCCUCGAGCCUGGGCUGCAGGACGCCCACAAAUGGAGCAGCAAAACAAUCCGGCAUCGUCCGCUGGUGGCCAGCGUGGACUGCAGAGAUGAUAGAAAUGUCCUGAUAUGAUCCAGAGGGAAGUAGCGCCCCUCCAUCCGGACAGGGGUGCAGGCAGCUCUCACACUAACGAGACCAGAGGGGGACCGAGGGGGGCCAACAUUUUCCACAAGUCAUCAUCUGAUAAUAAUCAUUCCAACUUUUCUUUGCUCUCUGUGGACUUUCACUGCCGGGAUCAGAGAAACAGAAUCCUUAGAGCAUUUUGAUUGGAGGACAUGUUGCCUUUCAGUGUUUCUACAUUUCAUGCCAUCUUAUUCCCGUGCCAACUUUUACAUACGUUUUGUAACGCGACAAUCGCCUCACAUCCCAACUUCUGUCGUGCAUUUAUUUAUAGUAAAGUGAAUGACGUACGUGCAGCGACUCUGCUGCCGCUGAGGAGAGGCUUUAAUCCUCUCCCUGAUGUCGGCACGGCAGCUGUUGAAACGCACGAGGAUCGUUAGCGGAGACGCGCCAAACCGGAGCGACACCAUUAAAAUAACGUGCUCCGCAUAAAAGCAAGCAAUCAGUUCCAGCUGUCAAGAGAAUCUGAGAUGGACCAAGAAAAAAAAAGCUGUUUAUGAGAAAACUUUGCGUGUAAUAACCGUCUUUUGCUGACUUUAUGCUUCCUUUGUAAACACAAAAAUAAAAGCUUUCAAUCUGUUUGAAUGCAAA